CCUACGGGAGGCAGCAGUGAGGAAUAUUGGUCAAUGGCCGAGAGGCUGAACCAGCCAAGUCGCGUGAGGGAUGACGGCCCUACGGGUUGUAAACCUCUUUUGUCGGGGAGCAAGACCCGCCUCGUGCAGGCGGAGCGAGAGUACCCGAAGAAAAAGCAUCGGCUAACUCCGUGCCAGCAGCCGCGGUAAUACGUAGGUGGCAAGCGUUAUCCGGAUUUAUUGGGCGUAAAGGGAACGCAGGCGGUCUUUUAAGUCUGAUGUGAAAGCCUUCGGCUUAACCGGAGUAGUGCAUUGGAAACUGGGAG
RNAcentral lists this ribosomal RNA (305 nucleotides) under uncultured bacterium. RNAcentral's name for it is "bacterial SSU rRNA". It matches the Rfam family "Bacterial small subunit ribosomal RNA", at positions 338 to 639 of the family's 1533-position model. The record is from RNAcentral.